RNAcentral lists this ribosomal RNA (796 nucleotides) under uncultured archaeon. RNAcentral describes it as "bacterial SSU rRNA". It matches the Rfam family "Archaeal small subunit ribosomal RNA", at positions 85 to 879 of the family's 1478-position model. The record is from RNAcentral.
ACGGCUCAGUAACACGUGGAUAACCUGCCCUUGGGUCCGGCAUAACCCCGGGAAACUGGGGAUAAUUCCGGAUAACGCACAUAUGCUGGAAUGCUUUAUGCGUCAAAUGGAUUCGUCUGCCCAAGGAUGGGUCUGCGGCCUAUCAGGUAGUAGUGGGUGUAAUGUACCUACUAGCCGACGACGGGUACGGGUUGUGAGAGCAAGAGCCCGGAGAUGGAUUCUGAGACAUGAAUCCAGGCCCUACGGGGCGCAGCAGGCGCGAAAACUUUACAAUGCGGGAAACCGUGAUAAGGGGACACCGAGUGCCAGCAUCAUAUGCUGGCUGUCCGGGUGUGUAAAAUACACCUGUUAGCAAGGGCCGGGCAAGACCGGUGCCAGCCGCCGCGGUAACACCGGCGGCCCGAGUGGUGAUCGUGAUUAUUGGGUCUAAAGGGUCCGUAGCCGGUUUGGUCAGUCCUCCGGGAAAUCUGACGGCUUAACCGUUAGGCUUUCGGAGGAUACUGCCAGGCUUGGAACCGGGAGAGGUAAGAGGUACUACAGGGGUAGGAGUGAAAUCUUGUAAUCCCUGUGGGACCACCUGUGGCGAAGGCGUCUUACCAGAACGGGUUCGACGGUGAGGGACGAAAGCUGGGGGCACGAACCGGAUUAGAUACCCGGGUAGUCCCAGCCGUAAACGAUGCUCGCUAGGUGUCAGGCAUGGCGCGACCGUGUCUGGUGCCGCAGGGAAGCCGUGAAGCGAGCCACCUGGGAAGUACGGCCGCAAGGCUGAAACUUAAAGGAAUUGGCGGGGGAGCAC